GUGCUCGCUUCGGCAGCACAUAUACUAAAAUUGAAA
Molecule: small nuclear RNA, 36 nt
Filed under: Cervus elaphus hippelaphus
Lineage: Eukaryota; Metazoa; Chordata; Mammalia; Artiodactyla; Cervidae
Source: RNAcentral